Molecule: ribosomal RNA, 253 nt
Filed under: uncultured bacterium
Lineage: Bacteria
Description: partial 16S ribosomal RNA
Rfam family: Bacterial small subunit ribosomal RNA
Source: RNAcentral
UACGUAGGUGGCAAGCGUUGUCCGGAUUUACUGGGCGUAAAGAGCGCGCAGGCGGUCGUUCAAGUCGCGUGUGAAAGCCCCCGGCUCAACUGGGGAGGGUCACGCGAUACUGAUCGACUGGAAGGCAGGAGAGGGUAGUGGAAUUCCCGGUGUAGUGGUGAAAUGCGUAGAGAUGUGGAGGAACACCGAUGGCGAAGGCAGCCCCCUGGGUCAAGAUUGACGCUCAUGCACGAAAGCGUGGGGAGCAAACAGG